This 310-nucleotide long non-coding RNA is filed under the name Vigna radiata. RNAcentral describes it as "long non-coding RNA (VRAD_LNC000189)". The record is from RNAcentral. Lineage: Eukaryota; Viridiplantae; Streptophyta; Magnoliopsida; Fabales; Fabaceae.
AAAGACAAUAAUGGUAGAGAAAUAAUUAAUCAAUGAAAAAUGAAAGAAAGAAAAGAAAGAAAUGGAAGAUAAUGGUCUAGAAGGCGUGGAGAGAGCAGCAGCGACACAAAGAAGAUUAGAAAUGUUUCAAAUGAGUAAGAGACUCUGUUUGCGAAAUAUAACCCUAAAAAUAUGUUAUUACCUCAGUUAUUUUUUUAACAAAGGCAAUAAGGAUUUAUGGCCUCGACUCUAUAAAGAACCGUUGCCUAAACCUUCUAAAAAAAAAUUCAGUUACUUUAGGUAUCGGUUCUUUUUUAACCGAGGCAUAUAC